Molecule: ribosomal RNA, 482 nt
Filed under: uncultured bacterium
Lineage: Bacteria
Description: bacterial SSU rRNA
Rfam family: Bacterial small subunit ribosomal RNA
Source: RNAcentral
UUGAACGCUGGCGGCAUGCCUUACACAUGCAAGUCGAACGGUAACAGGGAGCUUGCUCCGCUGACGAGUGGCGAACGGGUGAGUAAUGUAUCGGAACGUACCAUUCAGUGGGGGAUAACGUAGCGAAAGUUACGCUAAUACCGCAUAUUCUGUGAGCAGGAAAGCAGGGGAUCGCAAGACCUUGCGCUGAUUGAGCGGCCGAUAUCAGAUUAGCUAGUUGGUGAGGUAAAAGCUCACCAAGGCGACGAUCUGUAGCGGGUCCGAGAGGAUGAUCCGCCACACUGGAACUGAGACACGGUCCAGACUCCUACGGGAGGCAGCAGUGGGGAAUUUUGGACAAUGGGGGCAACCCUGAUCCAGCCAUUCCGCGUGAGUGAGGAAGGCCUUCGGGUUGUAAAACUCUUUCGGCAGGAACGAAACGGUGAGCUCUAACAUAGCUUGCUAAUGACGGUACCUGAAGAAGAAGCACCGGCUAACUACGU